AGCGAACGCUGGCGGCAUGCUUAACACAUGCAAGUCGCACGAAGGUUUCGGCCUUAGUGGCGGACGGGUGGGUAACGCGUAGGAAUCUAUCCAUGGGUGGGGGAUAACUCUGGGAAACUGGAGCUAAUACCGCAUGACACCUUAGGGUCAAAGGCGCAAGUCGCCUGUGGAGGAGCCUGCGUUUGAUUAGCUUGUUGGUGGGGUAAUGGCCUACCAAGGCGAUGAUCAA
RNAcentral lists this ribosomal RNA (229 nucleotides) under uncultured bacterium. RNAcentral describes it as "partial 16S ribosomal RNA". It matches the Rfam family "Bacterial small subunit ribosomal RNA", at positions 29 to 283 of the family's 1533-position model. The record is from RNAcentral.